UUUAUAUUCUCCACGGGGGGGAUGAGAACCCCCGACCGGGGUUCGACAACUGGCAACGCCAGUUGGACAGACCGCGAGCCUGCGAGCGGGCUGCCCCGCAGGGGCGAGCGAAGCGAGUCAAUCCCCCCCUCACCGCCA
RNAcentral lists this small RNA (138 nucleotides) under Klebsiella quasipneumoniae. RNAcentral's name for it is "RtT sRNA". It matches the Rfam family "RtT RNA". Rfam says of the family: This family represents a bacterial cis-regulatory element known as RtT RNA. The exact function of RtT is unknown although it is thought that it may be involved in changing the cellular response in relation to amino acid starvation. The record is from RNAcentral. RNAcentral also lists the same sequence under 2 other names. Lineage: Bacteria; Pseudomonadati; Pseudomonadota; Gammaproteobacteria; Enterobacterales; Enterobacteriaceae.